RNAcentral lists this long non-coding RNA (1690 nucleotides) under Equus caballus (horse). RNAcentral describes it as "lncRNA (ENSECAG00000060142.1)". The record is from RNAcentral. Lineage: Eukaryota; Metazoa; Chordata; Mammalia; Perissodactyla; Equidae.
CACACACACACACUCCACACCCCACGCGGCAUUUAGAGUCCCGGCCCCAGCGCACUCUCCCUUGGACAGUGGAACCAGAGGGGCAGGAAGGGUGGUCUUCCACGGUGGGGCCCGAGGAAGCCUCGAGGCCCUCAGAGGUGAGCGGGAUGGAGUGCGUGCUGGGAGCGCCUUGUGCUCUUUGCCACUUGUGUAAACGUUGCUGUCGACCAGGUUCUGUCCCCACUGACCGUCCACCCCUGGAGGGAGGCGUGGCCCCGUGACCGGCUUUGGCCAGUGGAUUUGACAGGUGAGAGGGGCCACAUCCCCGUGAAAGCAUCCGAGAACCGGUGUCUUCAUCUUCCCUUCCCCUGUGGCCUCCAGAGGUUGGGUCCCCAAAUGAGGCUGGCGUGGAGCAGAGCCCAGCCCGUGAUGGACAGGGAGUGAGAGUGACAGCCUUUGUGGGUUUAGGCACAGAUUUGGGGCUGUUUGUCACCACCACAUCGUUCACCCCCUCCUGCUGCCGGGCGCACUGAAGAGCCACACCCCACAAGGGCUGGACUCUCCGCUGAGACGAGUCGUGGGAUUUGGGCACGAAGCUGGCAGUGUGUCACAGAGGCUCGUGACCGGGAGGUGAGAACCUGCCCGCUGGCAGCCGUCCUGCAGCCUCUCAAAGCCCAGCCCUCCCGGCUGGUGUCCACCGAGGCCGCAGAGCCUUUCUGAGAAACACACGUCAGGAUGCAAUCGUGCAACAUGGAGCCGCCUGAAACACCAAGUUCGCGGGUAUGUGUGAGUGUCUUUGUGUCUUCCCUCUCUUUUCCAUCGGAAGAACAUAAGCUCAGGACAGUGACGGCCCUGGAAUGAGAACAGAAUGGGACUGGGAAACUUGUUUCUUCAUUUUCUGUCCCCGCCUCCUUACACCGGUCUCUUUGAAAAGCUGAAGGCAACACCCAAGUAACCACCUGGCAAAGAAGGUGCUGAGAACCGUCGGAUGAAUUCGUGCAUGACUGAAGACUCAGACCCUGCGCCCUUGGGCUCCCCGGGCCACGGACAGGACUGGGAGGCUGAGCACACUCAGACGGUGCAGGAGGUGCAGUGCGUGUCCAUCGCUUCACCCACACCCAGUACGGCAGAGGGUGUGGGGCCGGGGCUGGAGGGCGCUGGAGUCAUCCCGGGGGAGAAGCCGGGUAGGCAGCGGGGAGACACAGAGGCCUCAGGAUGUGAGGCAGCCUUGCCGAGUUUCCAGGCAGCUGAGGCAUGGGAGUGGGGAUGCCCAGGAGGGGCAGGAGAUGGAGUCCAGCCUGGGACCACCCCCUGUCGGGCAGCGGUGAGAAUGGGGACAAGCCCUGCCCCGGCAGGUCUCCGCCUUGUCCAGCAAAGGGGAGAGAAAUGACAAGACUGGUGCCACUGAUCCCCAGUGCCCCAUGUGCCCUGCAGCCUCAAGGAUUUCGUAUCUAUUAGCACAUUUAAUCCUCCUGGAUCCUCGUGGAGUAGCUACUGACUCCAGCCCCCGGACAGGAGGACUGAGCUCAGAGGACUCAGCGACUCAGCCCAGGACGGAGCCAGGACUCAACCGCUGCUCUCUCCCUGAGCUGGCUGCGCACACAGCAGCCUCUGCCCACGCCACCCUGCCUCCUUCCCGUGGAUGCUCAAUUUGGAGGAAUCACAGUUGGUCCAAGCCAGUCACAGCAACCGCCCCUCCUCUCCCCCACCC